UUAAGUUCAGCGGGUAGUCCUACCUGAUUUGAGGUCAGAUCUUAAAGAGUUGUCCGAAGACAAUUAGAAGCCACAUCCAAGCGAGCAGCCACCAAGUGUAGAUACUUAUCACACUCUGAGCCAACUCACGGACAAGUAGCUAAUACUUUUAAGAAGAGCCGACUAGAGAGCCAGCAAGCUUCCAAAUCCAAGCUUCAAAG
Molecule: unclassified non-coding RNA, 200 nt
Filed under: Xenasmatella sp.
Lineage: Eukaryota; Fungi; Basidiomycota; Agaricomycetes; Xenasmatellaceae
Description: partial internal transcribed spacer 2
Source: RNAcentral